This 1017-nucleotide long non-coding RNA is filed under the name Callithrix jacchus (white-tufted-ear marmoset). RNAcentral describes it as "lncRNA (ENSCJAG00000071586.1)". Lineage: Eukaryota; Metazoa; Chordata; Mammalia; Primates; Cebidae. The record is from RNAcentral.
GUGCUUUCUAAUUCUGAGAGAAAAUUAUACCAAAGCGAGUAUUCUGGUGUUUCCAGACAACUAGGUCUUUGCCUAUCAUGAAUACUUUCUCAGGAAGCUACUAGAAUACUAAAAGAGGUGGUAAUCCAAAAAAGAGCCAGGAACAAGGAUAUAUCUGUUGGCUUAGGCUAUGAUGCAGUAACAAAUGACACCAAACUCUCCAUGGUUUACAUCAUAGGUUUAUGGGAUGCAGGCUAAUGGAGUGUGCUCUUUCUGGGACAUUGAUAGUCUUACGACACAGGGAGAAGACAGCCAUGUGUCUCAGUCCUACAACUGCAAGAACAAAAUGUUGUCAACAGCAUGAAUUUGGAAGCAGAUUCCUCCCCAGAGCCUCCAAAGAAGAACGUGGCUCCACCAACACCCUGAUUUGGCCUUAUGGAACCUGGAGCAGAGAAACCAAUUGAGCCAAGAUCUGCCCAGACUUCUGACCCAUGGAUGUGGCAAGAUAAUAAAUGAGUGUUGUAGUAAGACUUUAUUUGUGGAAACUUGUUUUUAUAGUAAUAGAAGAUCAAAAUGCUAUAUUAAUAUGUUCAAGUUCAGGCUAAGAAAAUAGUCUCAGGAAAAAACCAAACAAACCACAGUUGUACAUGAGCACACCUCCCCUUCCUCCAAACAGAAUUCAAGAGACAAGGACAGUGGAACACCAGAUAGGUCAUUCAAGCACCAACUGUUAGCUGUAAGAUAUAAUGAAAAGCAAACAUCUGGUUCUUUGCAUAAUUUUGAUCAAAGGAGCAUAACAUGUGUUGUACACAUUUGGAGGAAAACCAAUUGCAUUAGGAUUUUCAUCAGGGAACAACUGUACAGGUGUCAAACAGGGGUCCGGGACACCGAGCCACUACUCCACGCUUCAUGUUUUUGUGAUCGAGGAAAGAAUUGCACAUCUAACUGGGGUGAGGGGGUGAGCAGUCAUCAAGUGCCCAAUAAAAGGUCCAGGCUUCCUCAGUAGGGUGUAAAAUGUGAUGGAAUGAAAAGAAAGAC